AAUCAACGCUGGCGGCGUGCCUCAGACAUGCAAGUCGAACGCGAAAGUCCCCUUCGGGGGAUGAUUAGAGUGGCGUCCGGGUGAGUAACACGUGGGUAAUCUACCUUCGGGUGGGGAAUAACAGUCGGAAACGACUGCUAAUACCGCAUAAUGCAGCGGCACCUAAUGGUGACAGUUGUUAAAGCGGGGUUAGUCGCAAGACCCUCGCGCCUGAAGAGGAGCCCGCGGCGGANAGCUAGUUGGCAGGGUAACGGCCUACCAAGGCGACGAUCCGUAGCCGGCCUGAGAGGGCGGUCGGCCACGCUGGCACUGACAUACGGGCCAGACUCCUACGGGAGGCAGCAGUCGGGAA
This 352-nucleotide ribosomal RNA is filed under the name uncultured bacterium. Its description in RNAcentral is "bacterial SSU rRNA". It matches the Rfam family "Bacterial small subunit ribosomal RNA", at positions 32 to 361 of the family's 1533-position model. The record is from RNAcentral.